UACGUAGGGUGCAAGCGUUGUCCGGAAUUAUUGGGCGUAAAGAGCUCGUAGGCGGUUUGUCGCGUCGAAUGUGAAAUCCCGGGGCUCAACCCCGGGUCUGCAUUCGAUACGGGCAGACUAGAGUUCGGUAGGGGAGUCUGGAAUUCCUGGUGUAGCGGUGAAAUGCGCAGAUAUCAGGAGGAACACCCGUGGCGAAGGCGGCUCUCUGGGACGGUACUGACGCUGAGACGCGAAAGCGUGGGGAGCGAACAGG
This 253-nucleotide ribosomal RNA is filed under the name uncultured bacterium. Its description in RNAcentral is "partial 16S ribosomal RNA". It matches the Rfam family "Bacterial small subunit ribosomal RNA", at positions 524 to 776 of the family's 1533-position model. The record is from RNAcentral.